ACUCCUACGGGAGGCAGCAGUGGGGAAUUUUGGACAAUGGGGGAAACCCUGAUCCAGCUAUGCCGCGUUAGUGAAGAAGGCCUUCGGGUUGUUUUGCUCUUUCAGCCGGAACGAAACGGUCACGGCUAAUAGGAGUGAUCACUGACGGUACCGGAAGAAGAAGCACCGGCUAACUACGUGCCAGCAGCCGCGGUAAU
RNAcentral lists this ribosomal RNA (197 nucleotides) under uncultured Nitrosospira sp. RNAcentral describes it as "partial 16S ribosomal RNA". It matches the Rfam family "Bacterial small subunit ribosomal RNA", at positions 335 to 524 of the family's 1533-position model. The record is from RNAcentral. Lineage: Bacteria; Pseudomonadati; Pseudomonadota; Betaproteobacteria; Nitrosomonadales; Nitrosomonadaceae.